Molecule: transfer RNA, 77 nt
Filed under: Alicycliphilus sp. B1
Lineage: Bacteria; Pseudomonadati; Pseudomonadota; Betaproteobacteria; Burkholderiales; Comamonadaceae
Description: tRNA-Gln
Rfam family: tRNA
About the family: Transfer RNA (tRNA) molecules are approximately 80 nucleotides in length. Their secondary structure includes four short double-helical elements and three loops (D, anti-codon, and T loops). Further hydrogen bonds mediate the characteristic L-shaped molecular structure. tRNAs have two regions of fundamental functional importance: the anti-codon, which is responsible for specific mRNA codon recognition, and the 3' end, to which the tRNAs corresponding amino acid is attached (by aminoacyl-tRNA synthetases). tRNAs cope with the degeneracy of the genetic code in two manners: having more than one tRNA (with a specific anti-codon) for a particular amino acid; and 'wobble' base-pairing, i.e. permitting non-standard base-pairing at the 3rd anti-codon position.
Source: RNAcentral
CGGAGCGUAGCGCAGCCUGGUAGCGCAUCUGCUUUUGGAGCAGAGGGUCGCGAGUUCGAAUCCCGCCGCUCCGACCA